RNAcentral lists this ribosomal RNA (160 nucleotides) under uncultured bacterium. RNAcentral's name for it is "partial 16S ribosomal RNA". It matches the Rfam family "Bacterial small subunit ribosomal RNA", at positions 372 to 524 of the family's 1533-position model. The record is from RNAcentral.
UGGGCGCAAGCCUGAUCCAGCCAUACCGCGUGGGUGAAGAAGGCCUUCGGGUUGUAAAGCCCUUUUGUUGGGAAAGAAAAGCAGUCGGUUAAUACCCGAUUGUUCUGACGGUACCCAAAGAAUAAGCACCGGCUAACUUCGUGCCAGCAGCCGCGGUAAU